Molecule: transfer RNA, 72 nt
Filed under: Marmota marmota marmota (Alpine marmot)
Lineage: Eukaryota; Metazoa; Chordata; Mammalia; Rodentia; Sciuridae
Also listed under: 1 other name
Rfam family: tRNA
About the family: Transfer RNA (tRNA) molecules are approximately 80 nucleotides in length.
Source: Rfam by way of RNAcentral
UGUGUUGUGGCUCAGUGGUUGAAUGCUUGCUUCACAUGCAUGAGACACUGGGUUCAAUCCUCAGUACCACAU